AGUGAACGCUGGCGGCAUGCCUUACACAUGCAAGUCGAACGGCAGCACGGGAGCAAUCCUGGUGGCGAGUGGCGAACGGGUGAGUAAUAUAUCGGAACGUGCCCAGUCGUGGGGGAUAACGUAGCGAAAGCUACGCUAAUACCGCAUACGAUCUACGGAUGAAAGCGGGGGAUCGCAAGACCUCGCGCGAUUGGAGCGGCCGAUAUCAGAUUAGCUAGUUGGUGGGGUAAAAGCUCACCAAGGCGACGAUCUGUAGCUGGUCUGAGAGGACGACCAGCCACACUGGAACUGAGACACGGUCCAGACUCCUACGGGAGGCAGCAGUGGGGAAUUUUGGACAAUGGGCGCAAGCCUGAUCCAGCAAUGCCGCGUGCAGGAUGAAGGCCUUCGGGUUGUAAACUGCUUUUGUACGGAACGAAACGGUGAGCUCUAAUAAAGCUUGCUAAUGACGGUACCGUAAGAAUAAGCACCGGCUAACUACGUG
RNAcentral lists this ribosomal RNA (484 nucleotides) under uncultured bacterium. RNAcentral describes it as "bacterial SSU rRNA". It matches the Rfam family "Bacterial small subunit ribosomal RNA", at positions 29 to 507 of the family's 1533-position model. The record is from RNAcentral.